GCUGGAUGAAGGUGUUUGCCCUGCAGCCGGGGCUGGUUGGGAUCCAGGCCCUCAGGAGUGGUCUGUACCUGUGUAUGAGCAGCGAUGGGAGCGCCCACGGCUCGGGCCGCUUCACAGCCGACUGCCUGUUCAAGGAGACCCUGGAGGAGAGUCACCACACCAGCUACGCCUCUGUCUCGCACCCGGGCCUUUACCUGGCCCUGUCCAAGCAAGGGGAGGUCAAACGGGUCACUGGCAGGACGAAGAAGCACCCUGGUAUCCUCUUCCUGCCACGGCUCAGGGAGUGACCCAGGCGGAGCCACCGGAGAGCCCUCCCUCCAAGCCAGCGAACCGUUUCCAUGGUGACGGCACAAUGCUGGAAACUGGAUUAUCACACAUAUAACCCAAAGGAGAGAUUAUUAGAUGUCGGACAUCAGAAUCACAGGGGAAGGUUCCAGAACCUAUGCUCUUGUUCACAGUGGAGAACACGGGGACAGGUGUGUGUGUGUGUGUGUGUGUGUGUGUGUGUGUGUGUGUGUGUGUGUGUGUGUGUGUGUGUGUGUGUGUGUGUGUGCGUGCGUGCGCGCACAUGAUGCAACUGGACCCAUCUUAAAGUGUAGAUGUUGCAAAUGAAAAAGUUAUUUAGUCAGAAAACCGAAAUGGAUUUGUACCAUGUCUACGCUUGAUGUUUUUUACUGUUGUUUAGUUCCAUUUCUGUUAAUGACUAUAAGCGCUGUACCUCACACUUCAUCCGAGGGAGUUUUACAAGGGCAAGAUGUUCGGAGCAGCUGGACCUGCAAGAGCGAAAAGCCCUGAAGUCAUAUGUGCUGCACGUCCACAGCGGCUGUUUACUUACCUUAGUAUGUAUGUAUAUUUGUAUUUAUUUAUUUAUUUAUUUUUGUACUUAUACUGUUGGAGGAACGGGGGUUGGCUGCUGGGGUGGCGUUGUCAACCAUUGUUACAACCAGAAGUUCUGGAAGGUUCCAGAAAACUCUUCAGUGGCUGCAAUGUGCUCUUCAUACACUAUAUUACCAUUAGAAAUUAUUUAAUUUGAUCUGAUUUAAUUAAUUAGCCUAAUUUAUUCUUCACCCUGGUGUCCUAAUGGAGCCCGAAUCAAUAAAGAGUUUUUCACGUGUUUUUGGAUUUCA
RNAcentral lists this long non-coding RNA (1127 nucleotides) under Scleropages formosus (Asian bonytongue). RNAcentral's name for it is "lncRNA (ENSSFOG00015029460.1)". Lineage: Eukaryota; Metazoa; Chordata; Actinopteri; Osteoglossiformes; Osteoglossidae. The record is from RNAcentral.